This 855-nucleotide ribosomal RNA is filed under the name uncultured marine bacterium. Its description in RNAcentral is "bacterial SSU rRNA". It matches the Rfam family "Bacterial small subunit ribosomal RNA", at positions 22 to 878 of the family's 1533-position model. The record is from RNAcentral.
GCUCAGGAUGAACGCUAGCGGCAGGCCUAAUACAUGCAAGUCGAGGGGCAGCAUUCACUUCGGUGAGAUGGCGACCGGCGCACGGGUGCGUAACGCGUAUGCAACCUACCCUUUACUGCGGGAUAGCCCGGGGAAACCCGGAUUAAUACCGCAUGGUACCAAUUGAGGGCAUCUAAAGAUGGUUAAAGAUUUAUCGGUAAAGGAUGGGCAUGCGUGACAUUAGUUAGUUGGUGAGGUAACGGCUCACCAAGACCACGAUGUCUGGGGGGUCUGAGAGGAUGAUCCCCCACACUGGCACUGAGAUACGGGCCAGACUCCUACGGGAGGCAGCAGUAGGGAAUAUUGGUCAAUGGGCGAAAGCCUGAACCAGCCAUGCCGCGUGCAGGAAGACGGCCUUCUGGGUUGUAAACUGCUUUUAUCAGGGAACAAAAAGCUCCUGCGGGAGAAAUUGCGUGUACCUGAAGAAUAAGGACCGGCUAACUCCGUGCCAGCAGCCGCGGUAAUACGGAGGGUCCAAGCGUUGUCCGGAUUUAUUGGGUUUAAAGGGUGCGUAGGCGGCCUUAUAAGUCAGUGGUGAAAUCCUUCGGCUCAACCGGAGAACUGCCAUUGAAACUGUAAGGCUUGAGUACAGACGAGGUAGGCGGAAUUUAUGGUGUAGCGGUGAAAUGCAUAGAUACCAUNAAAGAACACCUAUAGCGAAGGCAGCUUACUAGACUGUAACUGACGCUGAGGCACGAAAGCGUGGGGAGCGAACAGGAUUAGAUACCCUGNUAGUCCACGCCGUAAACGAUGAUUACUCGGUGUGUGCGAUAGACAGUACGCGUCCAGCGAAAGCGUUAAGUAAUCCACCUGGGG